Benincasa hispida (wax gourd) is the source of this 1387-nucleotide RNA transcript. RefSeq lists it as uncharacterized. The record is from RefSeq and is a predicted model, not a curated record. Lineage: Eukaryota; Viridiplantae; Streptophyta; Magnoliopsida; Cucurbitales; Cucurbitaceae.
CAACAAUAACAAUUAACAACAACCUUUUUUUCCUUUCUUUUUUCCUUCACUUCAAAACCCCUUUCCCUUCAAACUUAUAAUUUCUUCUCCCAUGGCCGCCUUCCUCUUCCUAUCAUCAAUCUUUUCUUAAUUUUUCUUUCUUAUAUUUAUGAAGAACAUCAUCAUCAUCAUCUUCAAAAAUACCCUUCCCCAUCCUAAUUAUUCCCAUAAUUAAUUAUAUUACCAGCCUAAUUCUUCCCGAACUAACCAAAUUCAUAUGGCUGAUAAUAAUAGUUUCCUCCUUAAUCGUCCGGCGCCGCCCUUCGCAGGCGACACCACUUGGACCAAACUCUUCGUCGGAGGUUUGGCUUGGGAAACCCAAUCCCAUGAAAUGCACUCUUUUUUCCAACAAUUCGGAGACAUUCUUGAAGCUGUCAUUAUUCAAGAUAAACACACCGGAAAAUCCAAAGGCUACGGAUUCGUCACUUUUAAAGACCCUGAAUCCGCUAGAAGGGCAUGUGCAAAUCCAAACCCAAUUAUUUGUGGUAGAAGAGCUAAUUGUAACAUCGCCGCCUUUGGCCGCCCUCGUCCUCCGCCUCCGUCGCCGUCUUCCGGAGGAAGAAAUCAAAGUGGAAAUCUCCAAAGUACAACUCCUCCGGCGGUUGCAGGCUCUUACGGUGGAUUACGGCCGCCGUUUCCGCCGCCGCAGCUUAUAUUUCCACAAUAUAGAUACCGAUCCUAUGCCCCAAAUUACACCGUUCCUUACCCCCAAGCUAUUUACAAUCCACAACUUCAACAACCACAAAUGUACCAGCAAUCACCAUCUUCAUCACCAUCUUCUUCUUCAUAUUAUUUUGGCUAUGGCUAUUCUUCUUCUUCUUCUUCACAGCAUCCAAGAGGAGCAUUUUCACCAUUAUCAUCAUCACCAUCAUAUUUUCCCUACUAUACAAAUUACACCCACAUGCAACAAGGCUUGUUCUACACUCCAAUGCAUCAGAUCAUUACUCCAAGUACUGGGGUGAUCAUCGAUUGAUUGGCGUCAGUUUGCAACCACCAACUUGUCGAUUUUGAUUGGUCGGUCGUCGGUUGUGGGAGUGUCUAUAUGAAACUGAUUGACCGACCACACAAAUGCGGUUGGCAGACUCCACAGCAUACACCAACGGAGACAGAAGCUGGGGCCAGUGGCUCCAACAGUCCAAAUACUUCAUAGAAAUUAUCUUGUUUAUAUUAUAUUCAACUAUAUUUUUCUAAAACAUUCUUCUAUAUAUUAUGUUAAUUAUCAUCAUUUUUUAGUUAGGGCAUGGAUCAUUUGUGCCUUGCAAAAUUUAGUCCAGUUAGAUGAGGGACUUCAUUGAUUUAAGGUCAAAUUAUAGAAAAUACCUCCCAAAAUACUUUGUAUUUUUUUAAA